RNAcentral lists this ribosomal RNA (207 nucleotides) under uncultured delta proteobacterium. RNAcentral's name for it is "partial 16S ribosomal RNA". It matches the Rfam family "Bacterial small subunit ribosomal RNA", at positions 568 to 774 of the family's 1533-position model. The record is from RNAcentral. Lineage: Bacteria; Deltaproteobacteria.
CGUGUAGGCGGCAGGAUAAGUCAGACGUGAAAGCCCUGAGCUUAACUCAGGAAGUGCAUUUGAAACUGUCCCGCUUGAGUAAGGGAGAGGGAAGUGGAAUUCCUGGUGUAGAGGUGAAAUUCGUAGAUAUCAGGAGGAACACCGGUGGCGAAGGCGACUUCCUGGCCCUAUACUGACGCUGAGACGCGAGAGCGUGGGUAGCAAACA